AUUUGAACAAGAGCUUUUAGACAAUGCAUAAGAGGACAGAAGGAGUCACACACACUUUGUUUUGCCUCCAGGUGGGUACUACCUGACCAGCGUGUAUGCCAGCCUCUGUCUGAUUCAAGGCAUGGAGCAGGACAAGCCUUUCUCCGACUGCCUGACACCACAGCUCCAGGAAGCACUGAAGGAGUGGAGCAGCAGGCGGAGCCAGGAGGCCCAAAGACAAAAGGAGAAUCAGCGAAACCAAAGGUGCGUUCGGAUACUGUUCCAGGACGGGGAGCGGAGUGCUGUGCGGACGUUGCAGUGGAGAGCCGGGGAGACCUGCCAGGCGCUGGCGCAGCUCUGUGCCUCCACUUUCGGAGUGUCAGACCCACAGCAAUACACUCUGUACUGGCGGAGCGGAGGCGAGAUGAGGGCCUUGCCGCCUCAGGCCCAACCCCAGGACCUGGCCAGCCAGAGUGAGGGGGGCCCCUCACUCUCCUACCUGAGGACCGAUCACGACUUCAGCAAGAUGCGGCGGCUCACCAGAGGUGGCGCUGUGGACCUGAGCGAGUCGGUGUGUGAGGAGUGAGUGGGAGGCAUGGAGGCAAGAGGGAGGAGGAGAUAGAUGGUUGCUUUUUUUUCUCUCUCUUUCUCCCUCUUUUAAGUUGUUUUUCAUCGUGAAUUGAGACUCGUCGUGCAGAACCACAGCUCUUCUACAGAAAGACUUUAAAUGGCAACCUUUUACUUAAAGGGACUGACGUGAGGGCAUGACCCACACAGAGACUGUUGCCAAAAGUUGUACCCACUCAUUGUGGCUGAUAGUGUAAAGGAGUGUGCUGUUUGUGACAUGGAAAAAAGUGUAAUAAGUGUAUUUGACUGUAUUUUGAAAACCCAGAGUUACACCAAGAAAGGAUGACAUCAUUGAAGCAGGAGGAGGCUGAAACCCAAAGACAAAUAUUGUGAGGCUACAGUUGCCUGGAAACAAAAUCACUUCCUGUAUGCAGACACACAAAGGCAAAUUGUCCACGUGGUGAUGUAACCCUUUCACAGUGUAGUUCUGGGCAAAAUCUAUAAUGUUUUGAUUAUAUUUAAGUAUAUGCUGGAAUAAAGAUAAAGGGUGAGAAUUAUUAUAUCGAAGACCAAGACUCCAUACCAAAGUGACGGAAAUGUCAAAGACAAAGCUAAUUUGUGGGAAAACAGCCAUUCACUUGCUCAAAAAAAUUGUUUCCAGUGGGCUUUAAAUCAGAAAUGAUGCAGCUUCCCUGCAUAAAAAGUGGUUUUGGCUGUAAGGAAAAUAAAAAUAAAAGUGGGAGAGUGUGGACUAAUCCCAUCAUUGCUCCCAUAGUGCAUCCUACAACAGAUUUGCUAACUUGCAAAUGUUUAUUUCCCUUUUAUAUGAGGUAAAACAUUUAGAAAUCACACUUGAUCUAUGUUUUCAUUUCCCCCUUUUAAGUUCUGUUGUUCUUCUUGACCAAGCGGUCCUGAGACGACUGUCUGACAUAUAAGAAGAGACUGGUUGAAUGUAAAAGUCCAUGUCACCAGCUUCUGGUGACUACUGCUGCAAGUCAUCACGAUCAACUGACUGUUCCAAACGGUGUCAUUACGUAAUAUCAGAUUGUGUAUUAAAAAACAGCCUUUAAUUGUUCAGUUUGUUGAGUAAAUAUUAAACCUAAUAUGGAUUUUCAACACAUUUGGCGUUUUGGUUUUGCUAAAGAGGUUUGCUCUGACGUGUUUUCAACAUUAAUGCAUGCUUUUUCAUUUAAUGUGAACGUUCUCCGGAUGUCGUGUUUGGGCACAUGUGUGUGUGUGAGUAUGAGUGUAUGAAAGGUCACACUUUCUUUUCAAUGUACAAUUGUAUUUUGUCAGGUAACUCAGUAUCGCAAUAAAAAUUGCAAUAUGUUUCCAGACUUGGUACAUCAGUGUUUAACAGGGGGCUGAGGUGGGAAUUAAAAAAUUAUACUUAACUUCAGUUAUUUUGAAAAAAAUGUGUCUUAUAAUAUUUUUACUGCACCAUAAUUUCUAUAUUUACUUGCAAAGAUUUAUGAUAAAAAAACAGUUUUUACCUCAAUGGUCUGUUUUUAUUUAGUAACUUUUUUUAAUUUGUAGUUUGGAUUCGUGAUGCAUCUGCACAAAAUCUACAUCAGCAGAUAAAUCCAAUUAUAAGUCAGUAAAAUGUUUGCCAAAAAUACCUCCUUAUAAUAUGGUUCAGCUUUGUUUGUUUUUUAGCCAUGAACAAAUUGGCAUAUUGUGUUUCAUGUUGCUUAAAAAAAGUCAGAAAUGUUUGGUGGGCCGUAUCAUUUAUAACUUAGAAAAUAUGAGAUUUUGUAAAUGUUCAUCAAUAAAGAAAAAUAAAUUUUAAAUGAUUGGACUUUGCCAAAACUCUGAUAGUAUGCAUCCUUAAUUUAUCUUCCACAUUAGUUAAAGCAGGGAUUUUUUCUUUUUAUUCAAAUAAUUCAAAAAGUUAUUUUACUAUCUGACUAUGUUCAUGAUGGUAUGUUUUCUAUUUUGUGUUAGUUUGAUUUCAUAAAGGCCAUGGAUCUAACAUUUUUUUAAUCUUUUAGUUUUUAAUUUU
RNAcentral lists this long non-coding RNA (2548 nucleotides) under Oryzias sinensis (Chinese medaka). RNAcentral describes it as "lncRNA (ENSOSIG00000009204.1)". Lineage: Eukaryota; Metazoa; Chordata; Actinopteri; Beloniformes; Adrianichthyidae. The record is from RNAcentral.